RNA transcript from Acanthochromis polyacanthus (spiny chromis), 2394 nucleotides. It is a transcript of the gene named centrosomal protein 224-like, with no coding region annotated. NCBI's taxonomy places the organism in Eukaryota, Metazoa, Chordata, Actinopteri, Pomacentridae. The transcript has 5 exons. The record is from RefSeq and is a predicted model, not a curated record.
AUAUGUGAGUGAUCAGUCAUGUGAUUGAUUAAUAACUGUGUCUGUGUUGUUGAUACAGCUACCAGGAGAACGGAGCGACCUGCAGUUCCUCCUUCAGGAUCAGGUCUACCUCACGAUCUCCACCACUCCCGCUCCUCCUCCACAGAAACGAUCAUCCUUCUCUUCAUCCUCCUCAUCGUCAGCCUCCUCUGAGUCCAGCCAGAGUUCAGAGGGUCCUCAACAACUGAGAGAACGACAGAACCUGGAGAACACGGCUGUGGAGCAGGUGGAUUCCUCUCAGGAGGCGAGUCCUCUUUUCAAAUUAAAGUUUAUUUAAAUUAAUUAACGCUGAACAUGACCUGACAUGAAACAGUCUGUGUGUGUGUAGAGCACAGAGCGCCUCCAGCCUCCCAGUAACACCAGCAGUCUGUGGCUCAAUGAACUGGUCCUACUGGGAGAGAGAGUUUCUAAUAGAGAUGGAGACGGCAGAAACGAAGAUGGAGGAGACGACAGCGUGGAGAGCAGACACAGGGCUCUGAUGCUGACCUAUCACCACCUCCUGAGUCGACUUCGUCACAGAGACCCUGGUCUGAUUACUGGAGUGGGCGGAGCAGCGGGAGAUGUGGGCGGAGCCAGAGAAGAACACCUGGAUGGGGAGUUUCCACACCUGUCAGACGACAGCAUGGAGGGAGGAAACCGGCUGACCUUUGACCUGCCAGGUCUCAGUUCCCAUGGCGACGAGGCGGCGCUGGAGCUGGGGCUGUAACGAGGCCAUGCCCAAUAUACUGUGUGAUUUCUAAGUAAUGAUCUUUUGAUUAAAUAGAAUCCUGCAGCUGGAGUUUAACACCAAGUGUUCCAACAUUUCACAGCUAGAAACUAGAAAAGUCAACAACCCUGCAUGGAAACUGAUUUACAAGCCCAACAGCACCCCCUACUGAAGAGGAUGAUCAAUAAAGUGACUGACAUACAGUUUAACAGUUCAUACCACCUUAAAUAUUACCUACAGUUUAAAGGCUAAUUCCACCUUAAAUACUAUGUACAGUUUAAAGGUUAAUUCCACCUUAAAUAUGUGCAGUUUAAAGGUUAAUUCCACCUUAAAUACUAUAUAGUGUUGAAAAAUUGAUUUCACCUUAAAUACUACUUACAGAUUAAAGGUUAAUUCCACCUUAAAUACUACGUACAGUUUGAAAGUUGAUUCCACCUUGAAUACUACGUUUGGUUUAAAGGUUAAUUCCACCUUAAAUACGUGCAGUUUAAAGGCUAAUUCCACCUUAACUACUACGUAGUGUUUAAAAAUUGAUUCCACCUUAAAUACUACAUACAGUUUAAAAGUUGAUUCCACCUUAAAUAUGUGCAGUUUAAAGGAUAAUUCUACCUUAAAUACCACAUAGUGUUUAAAAAUUGAUUCCUCCUUAAAUACUACAUACAGUUUUAAAGUUGAUUCCACCUUAAAUAUGUGCAGUUUAAAGGUUAAUUCCACCUUAAAUACUACGUACAGUUUGAAAGUUGAUUCCACCUUGAAUACUACGUUUGGUUUAAAGGUUAAUUCCACCUUAAAUACGUGCAGUUUAAAGGCUAAUUCCACCUUAAAUACUACGUAGUGUUUAAAAUUCAUUCCACCUUAAAUACUAUGUACAGUUUAAAGGUUAAUUCCACCUUAAAUAUGUGCAGUUUAAAGGCCAAUUCUACCUUAAAUACCACAUAGUGUUUAAAAAUUGAUUCCACCUUAAAUACUACUUACAGAUUAAAGGUUAAUUCCCCCUUAAAUACUUACAGUUUAAAGAUUAUUCAGUCUCAGGUUGGUUCCUGGAUAAACUUCUUGAGACCAGCUGCAGCAGAACGGCGCCUCCAUGUGGUCAAACACUGAUUACAGCAUCUGAAGUCUUCUGUGGGAAUAAAAAGUCUGGAGUUCACGAAGAAGUCCGACCCCUAAAACAUCUGGUUCAUGUGUGGAGGAUUUAUCAAAGUUCUGAUUUUAGAUCCCGAUAGAAAGAACCUGUCUGUCUGGAAGCGCCUUCUAUCCACUGAUUCACUGGACAACUUUCAUUAUUAUCUAAAGUCUUCAAACAGCUGCUGGUCAUUUUAAUAUGAAUUUAUCCACUUCUGAAUAUUUAACCACACUUCCAGCACUGAAAUCUUCCUUGUUGUGUGAAUUUCCAGCUGCAGUUUGAAAAUGUAACUGAGUGUUGAUGUGUAUAAAUAUGAAAAUCUCCUCUGUUCUCUUUAAAACUGACCACAUUCACUAAACAAAGCUGUAAAACAAAACUAACGGCUGGACGGGUUCACUCAUCCUGAUGGUAAAUAAUCUGAACACAGCUUUAAUGGAAGGAAAACAGAAAUACAUCAAUAACUCACUUUGGUUAUCUGUCACUGCCUGGUCUUUGAAUAAACUUUAUUUAGAUUUCAUUCACUCUA